This 253-nucleotide ribosomal RNA is filed under the name uncultured bacterium. RNAcentral's name for it is "partial 16S ribosomal RNA". It matches the Rfam family "Bacterial small subunit ribosomal RNA", at positions 524 to 776 of the family's 1533-position model. The record is from RNAcentral.
UACGGGGGGGGCAAGCGUUGUUCGGAAUUACUGGGCGUAAAGGGCUCGUAGGUGGCCAACUAAGUCAGACGUGAAAUCCCUCGGCUUAACCGGGGGACUGCGUCUGAUACUGGAUGGCUUGAGUUUGGGAGAGGGACGCGGAAUUUACGGUGUAGCAGUGAAAUGCGUAGAUAUCGUAAGGAAGACCAGUGGCGAAGGCGAGUCUCUGGACAGUUACUGACACUGAGGCACGAAGGCCAGGGGAGCAAACGGG